RNAcentral lists this ribosomal RNA (253 nucleotides) under uncultured bacterium. RNAcentral describes it as "partial 16S ribosomal RNA". It matches the Rfam family "Bacterial small subunit ribosomal RNA", at positions 524 to 776 of the family's 1533-position model. The record is from RNAcentral.
UACGAAGGGGGCUAGCGUUGCUCGGAAUCACUGGGCGUAAAGCGCACGUAGGCGGAUUGUUAAGUCAGGGGUGAAAUCCUGGAGCUCAACUCCAGAACUGCCUUUGAUACUGAGAAGCUCGAGUCCGGGAGAGGUGAGUGGAACUGCGAGUGUAGAGGUGAAAUUCGUAGAUAUUCGCAAGAACACCAGUGGCGAAGGCGGCUCACUGGCCCGGUACUGACGCUGAGGUGCGAAAGCGUGGGGAGCAAACAGG